UACGGAGGGUGCAAACGUUGCUCGGAAUUAUUGGGCGUAAAGCGCACGUAGGCGGCUUUGCAAGUCGGAUGUGAAAUCCCUCGGCUUAACCAAGGAAGUGCAUCCGAAACUGCAGAGCUUGAGUACAGAAGAGGAAAGCGGAAUUCCACGUGUAGCGGUGAAAUGCGUAGAGAUGUGGAGGAACACCAGUGGCGAAGGCGGCUUUCUGGUCUGUAACUGACGCUGAGGCGCGAAAGCGUGGGGGAGCAAACAGG
Molecule: ribosomal RNA, 254 nt
Filed under: uncultured bacterium
Lineage: Bacteria
Description: partial 16S ribosomal RNA
Rfam family: Bacterial small subunit ribosomal RNA
Source: RNAcentral